RNAcentral lists this ribosomal RNA (974 nucleotides) under Pseudocamarosporium camporesii. RNAcentral's name for it is "SSU rRNA". It matches the Rfam family "Eukaryotic small subunit ribosomal RNA", at positions 98 to 1081 of the family's 1831-position model. Lineage: Eukaryota; Fungi; Ascomycota; Dothideomycetes; Pleosporales; Didymosphaeriaceae. The record is from RNAcentral.
UCAUUAAAUCAGUUAUCGUUUAUUUGAUAGUACCUUACUACUUGGAUAACCGUGGUAAUUCUAGAGCUAAUACAUGCUAAAAACCCCAACUUCGGGAGGGGUGUAUUUAUUAGAUAAAAAACCAAUGCCCUUCGGGGCUCCUUGGUGAUUCAUAAUAACUUCUCAGAUCGCAUGGCUUUACGCCGGCGACGGUUCAUUCAAAUUUCUGCCCUAUCAACUUUCGAUGGUAAGGUAGUGGCUUACCAUGGUUUCAACGGGUAACGGGGAAUUAGGGUUCGAUUCCGGAGAGGGGGCCGGAGGAACGGCCACCACAUCCAAGGAAGGCAGCAGGCGCGCAAAUUACACAAUUCCGAUACGGAGAUGUAGUGACAAUAAAUACUGAUACAGGGCUCUUUUGGGUCUUGUAAUUGGAAUGAGUACAAUUUAAACCUCUUAACGAGGAACAAUUGGAGGGCAAGUCUGGUGCCAGCAGCCGCGGUAAUUCCAGCUCCAAUAGCGUAUAUUAAAGUUGUUGCAGUUAAAAAGCUCGUAGUUGAACCUUUGGCCUGGCUGGCAGGUCCGCCUCACCGCGUGCACUUGUCCGGCCGGGCCUUUUCUUCUGGAGAACCGCAUGCCCUUCACUGGGUGUGUUGGGGACCAGGACUUUUACUUUGAAAAAAUUAGAGUGUUCAAAGCAGGCCUUUGCUCGAAUACGUUAGCAUGGAAUAAUAGAAUAGGACGUGCGGUCCUAUUUUGUUGGUUUCUAGGACCGCCGUAAUGAUUAAUAGGGACAGUCGGGGGCAUCAGUAUUCAAUUGUCAGAGGUGAAAUUCUUGGAUUUAUUGAAGACUAACUACUGCGAAAGCAUUUGCCAAGGAUGUUUUCAUUAAUCAGUGAACGAAAGUUAGGGGAUCGAAGACGAUCAGAUACCGUCGUAGUCUUAACCAUAAACUAUGCCGACUAGGGAUCGGGCGGUGUUUCUAUUGUGACCCGCUC